CAAGUAAGUCAGAUAAUCGCUGCUGACAAUUGUCAGGAGAGGAAAGUCCGAGCUUCGCAGAGCAGGGUGCUGGGUAACUCCCAGUGAGGGUGACCUUAAGGAAAGUGCAACAGAGAGAUACCGCCUCAUUUAUGAGGUAAGGGUGGAAAGGUGAGGUAAGAGCUCACCAGCGCAUUGGUGACUUUGCGGCUAUGUAAACCCCACUUGAUGCAAGGCCGAAUAGAGGGACAUACAGGGGCUGCUCGUCCCGUCCCCGGGUGCGCCGCUUGAGCCAUGUAGAAAUACAUGGCCUAGACAGAUGAUUAUCUAAUACAGAACUCGGCUUAUAGAUUUGCUUGCACC
RNAcentral lists this RNase P RNA (342 nucleotides) under Proteiniclasticum aestuarii. RNAcentral describes it as "Bacterial RNase P class A". It matches the Rfam family "Bacterial RNase P class A". From Rfam's summary of the family: Ribonuclease P (RNase P) is a ubiquitous endoribonuclease, found in archaea, bacteria and eukarya as well as chloroplasts and mitochondria. Its best characterised activity is the generation of mature 5'-ends of tRNAs by cleaving the 5'-leader elements of precursor-tRNAs. Lineage: Bacteria; Bacillati; Bacillota; Clostridia; Eubacteriales; Clostridiaceae. The record is from Rfam by way of RNAcentral.